GGACGGUGAGUACGCGUGGGUAACCUGCCUCAUACAGGGGAUACAGUUAGAAUGACUGCUAAUACCGCAUAGACGCACAGUGUCACAUGACACAGUGUGAAACCUCCGGGUGGUAUGAGAUGGACCCGCGUCUGAUUAGGUAGUUGGUGAGGUAAUGGCUCACCAAGCCGACGAUCAGUAGCCGACCUGAGAGGGUGACCGGCCACAUUUGGGACUGAGACACGGCCCAAACUCCUACGGGAGGCAGCAGUGGGGAAUAUUGGACAAUGGGGGAAACCCUGAAUGCAGCAACGCCGCGUGAGUGAUGACGGUCUUCGGAUUGUAAAACUCUGUCUUUGGGGACGAUAAUGACGGUACCCAAGGAGGAAGCCACGGCUAACUACGUGCCAGCCGCAGC
This 397-nucleotide ribosomal RNA is filed under the name uncultured bacterium. Its description in RNAcentral is "bacterial SSU rRNA". It matches the Rfam family "Bacterial small subunit ribosomal RNA", at positions 100 to 518 of the family's 1533-position model. The record is from RNAcentral.